Molecule: ribosomal RNA, 2926 nt
Filed under: Salmonella enterica subsp. enterica serovar Cerro str. CFSAN001588
Lineage: Bacteria; Pseudomonadati; Pseudomonadota; Gammaproteobacteria; Enterobacterales; Enterobacteriaceae
Description: bacterial LSU rRNA
Rfam family: Bacterial large subunit ribosomal RNA
Source: RNAcentral
GGGUUGUGAGGUUAAGCGACUAAGCGUACACGGUGGAUGCCCUGGCAGUCAGAGGCGAUGAAGGGCGUGCUAAUCUGCGAUAAGCGCCGGUAAGGUGAUAUGAACCGUUAUAACCGGCGAUACCCGAAUGGGGAAACCCAGUGUGAUUCGUCACACUAUCAUUAACUGAAUCCAUAGGUUAAUGAGGCGAACCGGGGGAACUGAAACAUCUAAGUACCCCGAGGAAAAGAAAUCAACCGAGAUUCCCCCAGUAGCGGCGAGCGAACGGGGAGGAGCCCAGAGCCUGAAUCAGCAUGUGUGUUAGUGGAAGCGUCUGGAAAGGCGCGCGAUACAGGGUGACAGCCCCGUACACAAAAGCGCAUGUGCUGUGAGCUCGAUGAGUAGGGCGGGACACGUGGUAUCCUGUCUGAAUAUGGGGGGACCAUCCUCCAAGGCUAAAUACUCCUGACUGACCGAUAGUGAACCAGUACCGUGAGGGAAAGGCGAAAAGAACCCCGGCGAGGGGAGUGAAAAAGAACCUGAAACCGUGUACGUACAAGCAGUGGGAGCACCCUUUUGGGUGUGACUGCGUACCUUUUGUAUAAUGGGUCAGCGACUUAUAUUCUGUAGCAAGGUUAACCGAAUAGGGGAGCCGCAGGGAAACCGAGUCUUAACCGGGCGUUAAGUUGCAGGGUAUAGACCCGAAACCCGGUGAUCUAGCCAUGGGCAGGUUGAAGGUUGGGUAACACUAACUGGAGGACCGAACCGACUAAUGUUGAAAAAUUAGCGGAUGACCUGUGGCUGGGGGUGAAAGGCCAAUCAAACCGGGAGAUAGCUGGUUCUCCCCGAAAGCUAUUUAGGUAGCGCCUCGUGAAUUCAUCUCCGGGGGUAGAGCACUGUUUCGGCUAGGGGGCCAUCCCGGCUUACCAACCCGAUGCAAACUGCGAAUACCGGAGAAUGUUAUCACGGGAGACACACGGCGGGUGCUAACGUCCGUCGUGAAGAGGGAAACAACCCAGACCGCCAGCUAAGGUCCCAAAGUCAUGGUUAAGUGGGAAACGAUGUGGGAAGGCCCAGACAGCCAGGAUGUUGGCUUAGAAGCAGCCAUCAUUUAAAGAAAGCGUAAUAGCUCACUGGUCGAGUCGGCCUGCGCGGAAGAUGUAACGGGGCUAAACCAUGCACCGAAGCUGCGGCAGCGACACUGUGUGUUGUUGGGUAGGGGAGCGUUCUGUAAGCCUGCGAAGGUGGCCUGUGAGGGUUGCUGGAGGUAUCAGAAGUGCGAAUGCUGACAUAAGUAACGAUAAAGCGGGUGAAAAGCCCGCUCGCCGGAAGACCAAGGGUUCCUGUCCAACGUUAAUCGGGGCAGGGUGAGUCGACCCCUAAGGCGAGGCCGAAAGGCGUAGUCGAUGGGAAACGGGUUAAUAUUCCCGUACUUGGUGUUACUGCGAAGGGGGGACGGAGAAGGCUAUGUUGGCCGGGCGACGGUUGUCCCGGUUUAAGCGUGUAGGUGUGUGUUCCAGGUAAAUCCGGUUCACUUUAACACUGAGGCGUGAUGACGAGGCACUACGGUGCUGAAGCAACAAAUGCCCUGCUUCCAGGAAAAGCCUCUAAGCAUCAGGUAACAUCAAAUCGUACCCCAAACCGACACAGGUGGUCAGGUAGAGAAUACCAAGGCGCUUGAGAGAACUCGGGUGAAGGAACUAGGCAAAAUGGUGCCGUAACUUCGGGAGAAGGCACGCUGACACGUAGGUGAAGUGAUUUACUCAUGGAGCUGAAGUCAGUCGAAGAUACCAGCUGGCUGCAACUGUUUAUUAAAAACACAGCACUGUGCAAACACGAAAGUGGACGUAUACGGUGUGACGCCUGCCCGGUGCCGGAAGGUUAAUUGAUGGGGUCAGCGCAAGCGAAGCUCCUGAUCGAAGCCCCGGUAAACGGCGGCCGUAACUAUAACGGUCCUAAGGUAGCGAAAUUCCUUGUCGGGUAAGUUCCGACCUGCACGAAUGGCGUAAUGAUGGCCAGGCUGUCUCCACCCGAGACUCAGUGAAAUUGAACUCGCUGUGAAGAUGCAGUGUACCCGCGGCAAGACGGAAAGACCCCGUGAACCUUUACUAUAGCUUGACACUGAACAUUGAGCCUUGAUGUGUAGGAUAGGUGGGAGGCUUUGAAGUGUGGACGCCAGUCUGCAUGGAGCCGACCUUGAAAUACCACCCUUUAAUGUUUGAUGUUCUAACGUGGACCCGUUACCCGGGUUGCGGACAGUGUCUGGUGGGUAGUUUGACUGGGGCGGUCUCCUCCUAAAGAGUAACGGAGGAGCACGAAGGUUGGCUAAUCCUGGUCGGACAUCAGGAGGUUAGUGCAAUGGCAUAAGCCAGCUUGACUGCGAGCGUGACGGCGCGAGCAGGUGCGAAAGCAGGUCAUAGUGAUCCGGUGGUUCUGAAUGGAAGGGCCAUCGCUCAACGGAUAAAAGGUACUCCGGGGAUAACAGGCUGAUACCGCCCAAGAGUUCAUAUCGACGGCGGUGUUUGGCACCUCGAUGUCGGCUCAUCACAUCCUGGGGCUGAAGUAGGUCCCAAGGGUAUGGCUGUUCGCCAUUUAAAGUGGUACGCGAGCUGGGUUUAGAACGUCGUGAGACAGUUCGGUCCCUAUCUGCCGUGGGCGCUGGAGAACUGAGGGGGGCUGCUCCUAGUACGAGAGGACCGGAGUGGACGCAUCACUGGUGUUCGGGUUGUCAUGCCAAUGGCACUGCCCGGUAGCUAAAUGCGGAAGAGAUAAGUGCUGAAAGCAUCUAAGCACGAAACUUGCCCCGAGAUGAGUUCUCCCUGAGACUUAGAGUCUCCUGAAGGAACGUUGAAGACGACGACGUUGAUAGGCCGGGUGUGUAAGCGCAGCGAUGCGUUGAGCUAACCGGUACUAAUGAACCGUGAGGCUUAACCUUACAACGCCGAAG